AGAGUUUGAUCCUGGCUCAGGACGAACGCUGGCGGCACGCUUAACACAUGCAAGUCGAACGAGAGAAGAGGAGCUUGCUUUUCUGAUCUAGUGGCGGACGGGUGAGUAACACGUGAGCAAUCUGCCUUUCAGAGGGGGAUACCGAUUGGAAACGAUCGUUAAUACCGCAUAACAUAAUUGAACCGCAUGAUUUGAUUAUCAAAGAUUUAUCGCUGAAAGAUGAGCUCGCGUCUGAUUAGCUAGUUGGUAAGGUAACGGCUUACCAAGGCGACGAUCAGUAGCCGGACUGAGAGGUUGAUCGGCCACAUUGGGACUGAGACACGGCCCAGACUCCUACGGGAGGCAGCAGUGGGGAAUAUUGCACAAUGGAGGAAACUCUGAUGCAGCGAUGCCGCGUGAGGGAAGAAGGUUUUAGGAUUGUAAACCUCUGACUUCAGGGACGAAAAAAGACGGUACCUGAGGAGGAAGCUCCGGCUAACUACGUGCCAGCAGCCGCGGUAAUACGUAGGGAGCGAGCGUUGUCCGGAAUUACUGGGUGUAAAGGGAGCGUAGGCGGGAUCGCAAGUCAGAUGUGAAAACUAUGGGCUUAACCCAUAAACUGCAUUUGAAACUGUGGUUCUUGAGUGAAGUAGAGGUAAGCGGAAUUCCUAGUGUAGCGGUGAAAUGCGUAGAUAUUAGGAGGAACAUCAGUGGCGAAGGCGGCUUGCUGGGCUUUAACUGACGCUGAGGCUCGAAAGCGUGGGGAGCAAACAGGAUUAGAUACCCUGGUAGUCCACGCCGUAAACGAUGAUUACUAGGUGUGGGGGGACUGACCCCUUCCGUGCCGCAGCAAACGCAAUAAGUAAUCCACCUGGGGAGUACGACCGCAAGGUUGAAACUCAAAGGAAUUGACGGGGGCCCGCACAAGCAGUGGAGUAUGUGGAUUAAUUCGAAGCAACGCGAAGAACCUUACCAGGUCUUGACAUCGUAUGCAUAGCUCAGAGAUGAGUGAAAUCUCUUCGGAGACAUAUAGACAGGUGGUGCAUGGUUGUCGUCAGCUCGUGUCGUGAGAUGUUGGGUUAAGUCCCGCAACGAGCGCAACCCUUACUGUUAGUUGCUACGCAAGAGCACUCUAGCAGGACUGCCGUUGACAAAACGGAGGAAGGUGGGGAUGACGUCAAAUCAUCAUGCCCCUUAUGACCUGGGCCUCACACGUACUACAAUGGCUGUCAACAGAGGGAAGCAAAGCCGCGAGGUGGAGCGAACCCCUAAAAGCAGUCUUAGUUCGGAUUGUAGGCUGCAACCCGCCUACAUGAAGUCGGAAUUGCUAGUAAUCGCAGAUCAGCAUGCUGCGGUGAAUACGUUCCCGGGCCUUGUACACACCGCCCGUCACGCCAUGGGAGUCGGUAACACCCGAAGCCUGUAGUCUAACCGCAAGGAGGACGCAGUCGAAGGUGGGAUUGAUGACUGGGGUGAAGUCGUAACAAGGUA
Molecule: ribosomal RNA, 1470 nt
Filed under: metagenome
Description: bacterial SSU rRNA
Rfam family: Bacterial small subunit ribosomal RNA
Source: RNAcentral